GUGCUUGCUUUGGCAGCACAUAUACUAAAUGUUGGAAUGAUACAGAGAUUAGCAUGGCCCUGCGCAUGAAUGACAUGCAAAUUCAUGAAGCGUUCCAUAUUUUU
Small nuclear RNA from Mastomys coucha (southern multimammate mouse), 104 nucleotides. The record is from RefSeq and is a predicted model, not a curated record. NCBI's taxonomy places the organism in Eukaryota, Metazoa, Chordata, Mammalia, Rodentia, Muridae.